GGCGGCAUNCCUUACACAUGCAAGUCGAACGGCAGCACGGACUUCGGUCUGGUGGCGAGUGGCGAACGGGUGAGUAAUACAUCGGAACGUGCCUAGUAGUGGGGGAUAACUACUCGAAAGAGUGGCUAAUACCGCAUGAGAUCUACGGAUGAAAGCAGGGGAUCGCAAGACCUUGUGCUACUAGAGCGGCUGAUGGCAGAUUAGGUAGUUGGUGGGAUAAAAGCUUACCAAGCCGACGAUCUGUAGCUGGUCUGAGAGGACGAUCAGCCACACUGGGACUGAGACACGGCCCAGACUCCUACGGGAGGCAGCAGUGGGGAAUUUUGGACAAUGGGCGCAAGCCUGAUCCAGCAAUGCCGCGUGCAGGAUGAAGGCCUUCGGGUUGUAAACUGCUUUUGUACGGAACGAAAAGCUUCGGGCUAAUACCCUGGAGUCAUGACGGUACCGUAAGAAUAAGCACCGGCUAACUACGUGCCAGCAGCCGCCGGU
RNAcentral lists this ribosomal RNA (489 nucleotides) under uncultured bacterium. Its description in RNAcentral is "bacterial SSU rRNA". It matches the Rfam family "Bacterial small subunit ribosomal RNA", at positions 38 to 521 of the family's 1533-position model. The record is from RNAcentral.